GAACGGCAGCACGGGGGCAACCCUGGUGGCGAGUGGCGAACGGGUGAGUAAUACAUCGGAACGUGUCCUGUAGUGGGGGAUAGCCCGGCGAAAGCCGGAUUAAUACCGCAUACGCUCUACGGAGGAAAGGGGGGGAUCUCAGGACCUCCCGCUACAGGGGCGGCCGAUGGCAGAUUAGCUAGUUGGUGGGGUAAAGGCCUACCAAGGCGACGAUCUGUAGCUGGUCUGAGAGGACGACCAGCCACACUGGGACUGAGACACGGCCCAGACUCCUACGGGAGGCAGCAGUGGGGAAUUUUGGACAAUGGGCGAAAGCCUGAUCCAGCAAUGCCGCGUGUGUGAAGAAGGCCUUCGGGUUGUAAAGCACUUUUGUCCGGAAAGAAAACCUCCGCCCUAAUAUGGUGGGGGGAUGACGGUACCGGAAGAAUAAGCACCGGCUAACUACGUGCCAGCAGCCGCGGUAAUACGUAGGGUGCAAGCGUUAAUCGGAAUUACUGGGCGUAAAGCGUGCGCAGGCGGUCCGCUAAGACAGAUGUGAAAUCCCCGGGCUUAACCUGGGAACUGCAUUUGUGACUGGCGGGCUAGAGUAUGGCAGAGGGGGGUAGAAUUCCACGUGUAGCAGUGAAAUGCGUAGAGAUGUGGAGGAAUACCGAUGGCGAAGGCAGCCCCCUGGGCCAAUACUGACGCUCAUGCACGAAAGCGUGGGGAGCAAACAGGAU
RNAcentral lists this ribosomal RNA (719 nucleotides) under uncultured bacterium. RNAcentral's name for it is "bacterial SSU rRNA". It matches the Rfam family "Bacterial small subunit ribosomal RNA", at positions 64 to 778 of the family's 1533-position model. The record is from RNAcentral.